RNAcentral lists this ribosomal RNA (253 nucleotides) under uncultured bacterium. RNAcentral's name for it is "partial 16S ribosomal RNA". It matches the Rfam family "Bacterial small subunit ribosomal RNA", at positions 524 to 776 of the family's 1533-position model. The record is from RNAcentral.
UACGUAGGCAGCGAGCGUUGUUCGGAGUUACUGGGCGUAAAGGGUGUGUAGGCGGUUGUUUAAGUUUGGUGUGAAAUCUCCCGGCUCAACUGGGAGGGUGCGCCGAAUACUGAGCGACUAGAGUGCGGGAGAGGAAAGUGGAAUUCCUGGUGUAGCGGUGAAAUGCGUAGAUAUCAGGAGGAACACCGGUGGUGUAGACGGCUUUCUGGACCGUAACUGACGCUGAGACACGAAAGCGUGGGGAGCAAACAGG